Molecule: ribosomal RNA, 261 nt
Filed under: uncultured Rhizobiaceae bacterium
Lineage: Bacteria; Pseudomonadati; Pseudomonadota; Alphaproteobacteria; Hyphomicrobiales; Rhizobiaceae
Description: partial 16S ribosomal RNA
Rfam family: Bacterial small subunit ribosomal RNA
Source: RNAcentral
GCAUUUAGUUGGGCACUCUAAGGGGACUGCCGGUGAUAAGCCGAGAGGAAGGUGGGGAUGACGUCAAGUCCGUCAUGGCCCUUACGGGCUGGGCUACACACGUGCUACAAUGGUGGUGACAGUGGGCAGCGAGCACGCGAGUGUGAGCUAAUCUCCAAAAGCCAUCUCAGUUCGGAUUGCACUCUGCAACUCGAGUGCAUGAAGUUGGAAUCGCUAGUAAUCGCGGAUCAGCAUGCCGCGGUGAAUACGUUCCCGGGCCUU